Molecule: non-coding RNA, 1666 nt
Organism: Lactuca sativa (garden lettuce)
Lineage: Eukaryota; Viridiplantae; Streptophyta; Magnoliopsida; Asterales; Asteraceae
Source: RefSeq, a predicted model, not a curated record
UUAAAUUUUAUAUUAAUUAUAUAAUAGAUUAAUUUUAUGUUCCUCAAUCAAUAGUAAAUGGUUCCUAUUGGACCAUUUUUUUUAAAUAAUUUGGUUCUAUUUUAUUUUUUUAAAUUUCUUUUUUGAUAAUAUGUUCUUUUGUGUCAUUGGUUUGUGAGUCUUUCUGUAUACGUGUCCACCCACCGCUCCAAAAAUCUAUCCAUGUCGCCACCUGUUUUUCCAAACCACCCAUCAUCACUUUCUAUGCUUUAUCUCUCCCACUGUUCCUCUUUUCUUUGUCCUUCGUUUUAUUUCUGUUCUCUUUCUGGCAGAUACCCGUUUUCUCAACAUACCCGGUGGUCGGUGGUGCCCAACAAAAACCCUAAAUUGAUUUCCAUCGUUUGUUUGUCCAUCUCCAUAUCUAUUACGCUUAUCGUUUCCUUCUCAGUUCAUCCGGGUUCUCUUUGACGUUGAUGGCUACCACCUUUGACUGCAUGCUGCUUCGUCUUCCUCCUAAAAGUAGUCAAACCCGGAGUCGCAGAUUUAUAUAUGAAGCCGCAAUAGAUUUCUGAUUCCGUGGAUUUCAGUACUCAUGUAGAUGAUUGAACCAUACCAUGAUCGAUCCUCACUCCUACCUUUCCGGCUACCAUCUCUUGAAAGCCCAUCUUCUCAAUACGGUUCUUUUUUUCUCUAAUCCCUAGUUCCCUCCUUUUUUUAUUGUUUAUUCUUAGGUGUGAAGAAAUUUAUAGUGUGGAGUGCUCAUUAACAAGUUGAGCGCUAAGUAUCGACACAUGUAGGACUUUUUUUUUACUUGGUUACUCUCUGUAACUCUAAUAGAUGUAUUUCAGAUUUUCUUCUUUAAUUACUUGCAGAAAAUCUAUAUGAUUUUUCUAUACAAAGGUAUGUUUUUUUUAUUAAUUUAGGUAGGGCGUCAUUAGACGUUUUUAGCCCGAUAUCUGAAAGGCCGGUCACAAAUGGACUCCGGUAGCUUUGCAAAGUAUAGUAUCAACAAGUUCAUAUUGUAAUAUACUAUAUAUUUGAAGUUCUUAGUCAACUACGAGUUCAUAUUGUAAUAUACUCUUAUAGCUUUACAAAGUAUAGUAUCUUAGAAAGAAAGUAACUAAAAAUCAUCAAUGAUCACUUCACAUUGUAUUGUUAAUUUUAUGUUAAUCGGAUAAGAACCCGGUGGUUGUAAAUAUUACACCAGGGUAAUAAUUUUACAUUCUUUUUUGUUUAAUCAUGUUAUAAUUGGACACCACAGGAGUAGGGGAUGCUUUUGUGGCUGGAGUUUUAUCAAACUUGCUGAACAUUUUCCAAUGUUAUAGGAUGAGAAUAGGCUAAGAGAGGCUUUCGGUUUUACAAAUGCUUAUGGUGCAAUUACUGUGAUAGAGAUGUGAUAGAGAGAGGAGGACUUCCGUCAUUACCCACUAGAGAUUUACUUAAGGGGAUCUGCAACAAGUGAGAGAUGAACUUGACCGCCAGCUGGCGUUAGCUCAACAUUUAACAGUUGAAGUCUUGCAAUAUAAAGGGUUUACUGAAAAAUCUGCAGAUGAAUCGAGUAUAACAUCAAGAUCUGUAGUUCUGCAGCUUGCAAAGUAAUGUUAGUAGAAAAAAUUUACACCGGUGAAAAACACGUCUGUGUUUAGGAAAAUUGUUUUGAAUAGCAACUUUGCAACCUAAGAAAUUG